GUUUUCUUUUUUUCCGACUGAGAUUUGAAUUUUAGAUGUGCUGCUCUUUCCAUGUGAAUCUGAUUUUCUUCUAACAUCUUUCUUAUUGUAGACGGGGUGUUAAGAAGCCUCAAAUCAUGGAAAAUUCUGUCACGAUCUUGUCGAAUGCAGGUCUUGGGAUGGCCAUGUUCAAUCUCGGACUGUUCAUGGCCUUGCAGCCAAGAAUCAUAACCUGUGGGACUAAACUCGCCGCAUACGGAUUGGUUGUGAGGUUUCUCAUUGGUCCGGCUGUCAUGGCGAUCGCAUCUGUUGGGGUUGGCCUCAGAGGCACAAUCCUCAGAGUGUUCAUUGUUCAAGUGGGUCCAUUGAAUUUUCAGCUCAAUCUUCAAAACACACACAAACACAUUUUCAGCCUCUUACGUAUAAUGUCAUAACAUGCAAUUUCUUCCAUUUUGUAUGAUGAAAUUGAUUUUCAGCCAUGUGCAGUGAGCUUUUGGAUCAAAGCGAAGCUAUGAAUAGGGUGUUAGUUGAUGGCAAAUUAAUAACUAGUAGAUGCACAUCCAUGGAGUUUUCACUUGCGAUUGUUGAGAAGCUAUUUGGCUGCGAGAAGGCAUUGGAUCUUGUUGUUAAUGAGAACUUUAAAUAGACAUAUAACUAUUAUGUUGGCAUUGUACUUUUGUGAAUGGAAAUGAAUGAUUGUAUAUGAUUGAA
Molecule: long non-coding RNA, 690 nt
Organism: Magnolia sinica
Lineage: Eukaryota; Viridiplantae; Streptophyta; Magnoliopsida; Magnoliales; Magnoliaceae
Exons: 2
Source: RefSeq, a predicted model, not a curated record